CAGUAGCCGCGGUAAAACGUAGGGUGCAAGCGUUAAUCGGAAUUACUGGGCGUAAAGCGUGCGCAGGCGGUUCGUUAAGACAGAUGUGAGAUCCCCGGGCUUAACCUGGGAACUGCAUUUGUGACUGGCGGGCUAGAGUAUGGCAGAGGGGGGUAGAAUUCCACGUGUAGCAGUGAAAUGCGUAGAGAUGUGGAGGAAUACCGAUGGCGAAGGCAGCCCCCUGGGCCAAUACUGACGCUCAUGCACGAAAGCGUGGGGGGCAAACAGGAUUAGAUACCCCUGUAGUCCCUGUCUCUUAUAC
RNAcentral lists this ribosomal RNA (301 nucleotides) under uncultured bacterium. RNAcentral's name for it is "partial 16S ribosomal RNA". It matches the Rfam family "Bacterial small subunit ribosomal RNA", at positions 509 to 807 of the family's 1533-position model. The record is from RNAcentral.